CAGGUUUUUGCUUGUGUUAAAUACCCAACAAAGAGUCAAAGACCAUGGGUUUAUCCUAACACUAUUUAUGCUAUGAACAUAAUAAAGUUUGAUUUUAUUUAUGCUCAUGCAAUUACCUCAUUUUCUAUUAUACAGUUUUAGAUGGCGUUACAAACAACUUCAACGCCUUAUGUUCGUUUAUGCUCAUGAUUCCCCUCAUUUUUUUUACUAGCCCAAUUUAUGCUUUGUCAUCUAUUUUACCCUCAAAUUUUAAUUUGUGUUUUACCUAUAAUGGUAUUUUCGGUGGUUUACAGAUUUCAGAGAGGACAUCGAAUCAAUUAGUAACUUCCUCAAAUUUUAAUACUCCCCCUUCAUCGAUUGGGGAACCACACUGUUGCGACGAUCUAUGAUUGUGUGGUAUAGUAUCUAUCAAGUCACAAAUAACAUUGAAGGUUUUGAUAGAUGAUUGUUCUCUACACGAGGGGCUUAAAAGGAGGACCUUCUAAAUUUUACAUGUGAGAUCGGAAUGAUGUAAGAGUUUUUAAAUCACUAGCAUGAACUCAAUUUGGAGUAUAUUUCUGGAAUUUGCUGAAUUGCAAACCCAAACAUGUCAAGCAGCAUUGAGUAGUAACAAUUAUCAUUGCAUAAUUUCUUGCUCGAGGGCUCUCUGAUUGUAAUACAUAUUGACUGAAUCAUUUGUUCUCCUACUGUCAUUUAGAAGGAAACUGUUCAGCUUUAAUUGGAUACCAAUUCGCCUAUCAGUGGCACUUUGAAAGAUCUUCUAACGAUGGGUUGAAGCAUAUCUUCAAUCAAGCAUGCUAAGGUAUCUCUCAAUUGCUACUUAUGAUGCCAACAUAGCUAGAGUUUCCUAAUUUUACUAAUAUUCUAACAAUGGAGCCUUUACAACUUUAUAGAAAACAAUUGCAGGUCCCAUUAUUAAGCCUGUCAAGGUCUUAAUAUAAAAGUGACGAUGAGAUUCUUAAGCUGGUUGGAUCUUUGUCUAAACUCUAAACAAUUCUAGGGAUGGUACCACUCUAAAGAGGAAACAUUCAUUGCUAAUGUGACUUCCUACUUAAGAUCAACUUUGAGUAUUUUGGUAAGGCUUCGAGUAUUUAGGGGAAUCAAUGUUGUCUUAUGGGUUUGCGGGAAUAAGUGUGCUUCAAUUGAAGUGUCAACAACUAACUCACACAAAAAAUUGUGUAGGAAAGAUUUUUCAGAUUAAGUUAAUUAUUCACAAAUUCACAAUGAACAGAUUGGAAUGAAGUUGGAUGAGAUAUUCGUUCUGGGCUUUGUUUUUUUUUAGAAAGGGUUUACAAACACCCAUAUUUGCAGUCUAGAUCUUCAUCUGAUAUCUGUACAUACGUAGAGUCGAGGGCAGGAACGUUAUUUGCAAUUUGACAUCAAAGGUUGUUGAAUUUUAUUGAGGGCAUCUUUAUGCUUAAUGGUGUUUGUGAUUCAAUUUAUACUUCCAUUAUGGCAUUUUCUUUUUUUGUGCUUCUUAAGUAAGAUAUGUACUUGUGUUCUUCUAUAUAUAGUUUUCCUUUACCAAUUUUUAAUUAUCAAAAUCAUCAAUAUGAAUUCUCUUUGUUUCAGCAUGAUCUAAGCAAUUUAAUGCAAUUAUCAGAGCUCACUUAUUAAUAAAACUCAUUUUGAACAAUUUAGUUGGUGGAUGUGAGGCUAGAUUAAUGUUAUGUUCUUGUUUCAAUUGAAAAUCUUAUCUGUUAAGGAUCUAAUGUGUGCAUCUAUAAUCUGUUGUACAGAUUAUGCCUAUAGGAAUGGGGUCUCGUGUCCUGGAAAUUAGAAUGUGUUGUAGUGGAGUGUGUAAAUUCUACAUUAGCUGAGGUAUGUAUCUAACUUGCUUUCUAUUCAUUAAGGUUCUUAAUAAUCAAUGUACUAUUGAACCAUCUAUUGAACAAGUGGUGCUCAUUCUCGCAAAUUCGAGUUGUACCACAACUGGUAUUCAUGCCGUUCCAGUUCCUCAUAGUGGUUGACUGUUGCCAAUUGUUGAACAUGUAGAGCUCCUUGCUGCAAAUCAAGGGGAGGUUGGCAGGGGCAAUUUUUGGUUGAGAGAGUGUAGGUGAAUGCAGGGUGGAGGGUGAGUGAUGGUGGGGCCGCACAGAUUGCAGUUUGAGAUAGGCAUGAUCUUCCAAUCCACUAUUAGUCAACAAGGUGAUGAAAGCACGUCUUGGUAUUAUAUGAGGAGCCUAAAUGUGUUUCCACCAACGUUGAGAUCGGAGUUACCUCUAGAUCUUAGAACCUCAUAAGCAGUGUUGAUUGUGUAUUUACCUGUACUUACCUGUAGGAUGUGGUAUUCCUUAGAGCAUUCCAAAUGUGUUUUAACUCCAGUGUAGAAUUCUGAGGCAUUACCCAUCUUCCAUGUUGAAGUUUGUCUAUGUAGGUUGUGUUCUUUUUUCCAGCCAUUUCACUCCAGAGAGUUGUUAGUCUUGUACUAUGGAUUUGGUAUAGAUUAGUAUUUAGUAGUCUUUACAUUUGUUGAACUCAUUUCAGUAUGUACAUCAUUGAAUGAUAUCUUCUGCAGUUAUGCUGCUCUAUAGUUUUCUCAAUAUGAUACCUCCUUGUAGUAUGACAACAGCGUAAGCAUGUUAGUGUGAACUGUAACAUUAACAUCUCUGUCGGGCAGAUCGGUACUGAUUAUUUAUGAUCUAUGCUCAUUAUUUUUUGGUAGGCAUCCAAGAUGCAGAUUAUGCUGCACGAAAAUUCAAUUUUCAUUUUUUAUUCAUCUAUAGGUUUUGCUUAAUGUGUCAGUUUGUAAUGUCAGUUGAUGGUUCUUGCUUGCUAUGUGUGAAAUAGCGUAGGUGGCUUUAACAGUACUAGAAGCAUUUCUGUGAUCAGGAAAUAGCUUGUCAAAGCAUGCUGCACAAAUGGUAGACAAUUGAGAUUAAUCUGGUGUUUAGGAUUAGAUCUUCCAUCUAAGGUUUCGUUUUUCUUAC
RNAcentral lists this long non-coding RNA (2930 nucleotides) under Aquilegia coerulea. Its description in RNAcentral is "long non-coding RNA (ACOE_LNC002028)". Lineage: Eukaryota; Viridiplantae; Streptophyta; Magnoliopsida; Ranunculales; Ranunculaceae. The record is from RNAcentral.